CCUACGGGAGGCAGCAGUGAGGAAUAUUGGUCAAUGGGCGGAAGCCUGAACCAGCCAAGUAGCGUGCGGGAUGAAGGCCCUACGGGUCGUAAACCGCUUUUGCACGGGGAUAACACCCUCCACUUGUGGAGGUCUGCAGGUACCGUGUGAAUAAGGGCCGGCUAAUUCCGUGCCAGCAGCCGCGGUAAUACGGAAGGCCCGAGCGUUAUCCGGGUUCAUUGGGAUUAAAGGGAGCGCAGGCGGGCGGUAAAGUCAGCGGUAAAAGCCCGGGGCUCAACCGCGGCGAGCCGUGGAAACUGGCUGGCUGGAGAGGGCGAGAGGUAUGCGGAAUGCGCGGUGUAGCGGUGAAAUGCUUAGAUAUUGCGCAGAACUCCGAUUGCGAAGGCAGCAUACCGGCGGCGAACUGACGCUGAGGCACGAAAGCGUGGGUAUCGAACAGGAUUAGAUACCCUUGUAGUC
Molecule: ribosomal RNA, 459 nt
Filed under: uncultured bacterium
Lineage: Bacteria
Description: partial 16S ribosomal RNA
Rfam family: Bacterial small subunit ribosomal RNA
Source: RNAcentral